RNAcentral lists this long non-coding RNA (451 nucleotides) under Lathyrus oleraceus (garden pea). Its description in RNAcentral is "Pisum sativum (pea) long non-coding RNA (PSAT_LNC042102)". Lineage: Eukaryota; Viridiplantae; Streptophyta; Magnoliopsida; Fabales; Fabaceae. The record is from RNAcentral.
UUGUAAUGCGGCUUGGGUUACAAGAAAGGAUAUGAUUAAGAGAAUUCAACAAAGUUGUCUAUCCUAAGGGAGCAUUCCCCUACAUUCAACUCUACACAAUUUCCAUUUCUUUGAUCCCCGUCUUUUUUUUUUCUUUUUACAACCACACAACCAUGAGCCUUUUCUUUGUUUUUUUUUCUUUCUUUUCUUUUUCUUUGCUCUAUGGUUUCAAGGGUGAUUUCUUUUUCUUGUUUCUUUUCAUAUUUUCACCCUUUCAUAAAAACUCACUUCUCCAAGUUUCUAAUCAACUCUUUUUACUUUACUUUACUCUCCCCAACUUUAGAUUCCAAAACCAAAUUUAUUCAACGAUGCUCCCUACUUAGACAUAAGCAAAAGGAAAAAUUUUCAAACAACUCGGUUUGAGGGUUAAAUUGACACGAAAGAAAUUAGGAUUCAUUUAUUCACAAAAUUU